AGAGUUUGAUCCUGGCUCAGGACGAACGCUGGCGGCGUGCUUAACACAUGCAAGUCGAGCGAUGAAGUUUCUUCGGAAAUGGAUUAGCGGCGAACGGGUGAGGAACACGUGAAGAAUCUGCCCUCCACUUUGGGAUAACACAGGGAAACCUGUGCUAAUACCGAAUAUUGAAACAUAAGUGGCAUCACUGAGUUUUGAAAGAAUUUCGGUGGAGGAUGACUUCGCGGCCUAUCAGCUAGUUGGUGAGGUAAUGGCUCACCAAGGCAACGACGGGUAGCCGGCCUGAGAGGGCGACCGGCCACACUGGGACUGAGACACGGCCCAGACUCCUACGGGAGGCAGCAGUGGGGAAUAUUGGGCAAUGGAGGAAACUCUGACCCAGCGACGCCGCGUGCGGGAUGAAGGCCUUCGGGUUGUAAACCGCUUUCAGUAGGGAAGAAGCGAAAGUGACGGUACCUACAAAAGAAGCACCGGCUAACUAUGUGCCAGCAGCCGCGGUAAUACAUAGGGUGCAAGCGUUGUCCGGAAUUAUUGGGCGUAAAGAGCUCGUAGGUCGUUUGUUACGUCGGAUGUGAAAACCUGAGGCUCAACCUCAGGCCUGCAUUCGAUACGGGCAAACUAGAGUUUGGUAGGGGAGACUGGAAUUCCUGGUGUAGCGGUGGAAUGCGCAGAUAUCAGGAGGAACACCAAUGGCGAAGGCAGGUCUCUGGGCCAAUACUGACACUGAGGAGCGAAAGUCUGGGGAGCGAACAGGAUUAGAUACCCUGGUAGUCCAGACCGUAAACGGUGGGCACUAGUUG
This 800-nucleotide ribosomal RNA is filed under the name uncultured bacterium. Its description in RNAcentral is "bacterial SSU rRNA". It matches the Rfam family "Bacterial small subunit ribosomal RNA", at positions 8 to 822 of the family's 1533-position model. The record is from RNAcentral.